AGUAACCAAAACUAGUGUUUUGAAAGAUAUUUAUAAUGAGAAUUUUUGUUUUGCAUCGCAAAAUGUCGUGACAAACAAUUUGUAGUACUAUGAUCCAGAGGCAAAUAAUGGAUAAAGUAUAUACAUCGAGGCUUAUCUUUUUUAGUUAAAUUUCGUUUUAGUGGACUUCACAGUUUCAUUAUGCGUGGUUUCCUUUCCAUGACUCUUUCCUUUUCAUAUCAUUUAAUGUUUGGCCAUAAAAGUCGAAUGUGUUUUUGCAGUUGGUUGUGAAUGUUUUUGCAGUUGGUUGUUUCUUCAAUUUACAUCGCAAAACCAAGAUUAAGAGAGGGGGAGAUUCGGUGAAGGAACUUAAUCGAAGUAAUAAAUCGGAUCGUAAACCUACCAAUCGAGGGAUUGAAGCACUGGAAACUUUGCCUACGCCCCGGAGUAUACCUGAGUUGUACAAAGAAAAAGAGCAUACUCUGAGAGUUUUCACUUUUGAAGAGCUCAAAAUCGCGACUAAUGGGUUCAGCAGGUUGCUUAGGAUUGGAGAAGGUGGAUUUGGGAGCGUAUAUAAGGGGCAGAUUAGGCUUGAAGGUGAUCAGGGAGAGGAAAUUAUAGUUGCUAUCAAGCGACUUAAGUCAAAUAGCUCACAGGUUGAUCCAAACACAGGAGUUUCAAUGUAUGAAUCAGAUGACAUAAUCAAGUAUCUGGUUCAGAACUAUGGUGUGGACUCAUCACAAUUUAUAUGAUCAAUUUGAUCCUACUUUUAUUUUUCUCAUUAUUUCUUAUUGUGUGCUUACUCAAUCCUACUUGAGUCCUAGUCUUCAUCUUGCUUCAGCAGCGGAAGCUGGAGCUUUGGUGAGUUUAAGACCUUUUUUCCCCCCGAUUUUUCCUCUUUCUUUUUGUUGCCUCAUUAUUGUUUCUUUAUCAUUUCUAAGUCAUGUUUCAAGUCCUUGGUUUUUUUUGUGCUUGUGAACGUCGAACAAUUUCCUUAUUGCACUAACUAGAAGAAUAUUUCUAUGCCCUCAUCAUUUUGAACUUCUGUUCUUUAUUAUAUUCACAACUGUGAUUGUACUACUUCUCAGGUUUGUUUUUGCACAAAUCCAGUUUGGCUUGUGAUGCUGUGAACUGUGGUGUGGUUUUUAUAGUCAUUUUUCUUAGCUGAUUCUUGAGUGACUUGGUUUCAGGUUAUUCGAGCUCGGUUGCUACAGUUCAGGAAGAGGAAUGUCAAGCCCUUGCUGCAUUUGGUGCCUGUUUCCAAUAUUAAUAAUUGUUUGAAGAAGCAUUUUCGAGACCUUUAAAAUGUCGUGAUCUUUGAAUUUAUAUAAUUCUGUUUGGUUGCAGUUAAUUUUACAAGCGUGUUUUCAUUGUUGGUGGAACCAGACUUGAAUAAUAUGGGAUUUAUGUGCUUUAAGAUAUGAAUGAGAUUUAUUGUUGCUUUAAGAUAUGAAUGGGAUUUAUGUGCAAGUGCUAAUAGCAUUUUCAUUGUUGGUGGAAUCAGACUUGAAUAAUAUGGUUUCCUACGUAAUGUGACUUGUAGUUUCAA
Cucumis melo (muskmelon) is the source of this 1528-nucleotide long non-coding RNA. RefSeq lists it as uncharacterized. The transcript is spliced from 2 exons. The record is from RefSeq and is a predicted model, not a curated record. NCBI's taxonomy places the organism in Eukaryota, Viridiplantae, Streptophyta, Magnoliopsida, Cucurbitales, Cucurbitaceae.